Molecule: long non-coding RNA, 321 nt
Organism: Oncorhynchus tshawytscha (Chinook salmon)
Lineage: Eukaryota; Metazoa; Chordata; Actinopteri; Salmoniformes; Salmonidae
Source: Ensembl
GUGAUGGAGUGUGCCCCUGGAUAUCUGUAAAUGAUGUCUUAGUGAUGGAGUGUGCCCCUGGCUAUCUGUAAAUGAUGUCUGAGUGAUGGAGUGUGCCCCUGGAUAUCUGUAAAUGAUGUCUGAGUGAUGGAGUGUGCCUCUGGAUAUCUGUAAAUGAUGUCUGAGUGAUGGAGUGUGCCCCUGGAUAUCUGUAAAUGAUGUCUGAGUGUUGGAGUGUGCCCCUGGAUAUCUGUAAAUUAUGUCUGAGUGUUGGAGUGUGCCCCUGGAUAUCUGUAAAUUAUGUCUGAGUGAUGAGUUUUGCCCCUGGCUAUCUGUAAAUAA